AUUGAACGCUGGCGGCAGGCCUAACACAUGCAAGUCGAGCGGAUGAAGGGAGCUUGCUCCUGGAUUCAGCGGCGGACGGGUGAGUGAUGCCUAGGAAUCUGCCUGGUAGUGGGGGAUAACGUCCGGAAACGGGCGCUAAUACCGCAUACGUCCUGAGGGAGAAAGUGGGGGAUCUUCGGACCUCACGCUAUCAGAUGAGCCUAGGUCGGAUUAGCUAGUUGGUGGGGUAAAGGCCUACCAAGGCGACGAUCCGUAACUGGUCUGAGAGGAUGAUCAGUCACACUGGAACUGAGACACGGUCCAGACUCCUACGGGAGGCAGCAGUGGGGAAUAUUGGACAAUGGGCGAAAGCCUGAUCCAGCCAUGCCGCGUGUGUGAAGAAGGUCUUCGGAUUGUAAAGCACUUUAAGUUGGGAGGAAGGGCAGUAAGUUAAUACCUUGCUGUUUUGACGUUACCAACAGAAUAAGCACCGGCUAACUUCGU
RNAcentral lists this ribosomal RNA (483 nucleotides) under uncultured bacterium. RNAcentral describes it as "partial 16S ribosomal RNA". It matches the Rfam family "Bacterial small subunit ribosomal RNA", at positions 30 to 506 of the family's 1533-position model. The record is from RNAcentral.